RNAcentral lists this long non-coding RNA (526 nucleotides) under Lathyrus oleraceus (garden pea). RNAcentral's name for it is "Pisum sativum (pea) long non-coding RNA (PSAT_LNC030690)". Lineage: Eukaryota; Viridiplantae; Streptophyta; Magnoliopsida; Fabales; Fabaceae. The record is from RNAcentral.
UUCAUUUUUAUUGCUACGGGAAUAAUAACCAAAUGCGGAGUUGGGGAAUAUGAAGUCUCCCCUACACCCCUGAUUGCUCAGUGCACCAUUGUGGGGCCUUCAUCCUUUGAGCCUAUAGCAUUUUCCUAAAUAAACCCCUAGUUUUUAGCCUAUUUUUGUCAUUUGAAUAUUUUUUUAUUUAUUGUUUAUUUAUUUUUAUUAUUGUUUUAUUUUUUUAUUUUUAUUUUUUCUUUUAUUUCCUUUAGUUUUUUUUAAUCUUUUUACCUCUUGUAUUGAUAGUGUGUCCCUUCCCUUUUAUUACUUAUUUUAUUUUAUUUUAUUUUUAUUGUUUUAUUUUUUAUUUUACUUUAUUGUAUUUUUAGUUGAUGCAUAAUUGUUAAUCCAAAAAGAUAAAAUGACUCUUAAAAUUAAUUUUUCAAAAAUACUAAAAUCAAAAGUGUUUGAUCAACAUCAAAUACAUUUUUUUAAAUCACACAAAACCUUUUUCAAACCAAAAUCAAUCGCUUAACAUCCAUUAACCUUUACA